This 985-nucleotide ribosomal RNA is filed under the name uncultured bacterium. RNAcentral's name for it is "bacterial SSU rRNA". It matches the Rfam family "Bacterial small subunit ribosomal RNA", at positions 28 to 1010 of the family's 1533-position model. The record is from RNAcentral.
AUUGAACGCUGGCGGUAGGCUUAACACAUGCAAGUCGUGCGAGAAAGUAUCUUCGGAUAUGAGUAGAGCGGCGGACGGGUGAGUAACGCGUAGGAAUCUACCUAGUAGAAGGGGAUAGCCCGAGGAAACUCGGAUUAAUACCGUAUACCUCCUUAGGGAGAAAGAGGGCCUCUCUUGAUGCUCUCGCUAUUAGAUGAGCCUGCGUAAGAUUAGCUUGUUGGUGAGGUAAUGGCUCACCAAGGCUACGAUCUUUAGCUGGUCUGAGAGGACGAUCAGCCACAUUGGGACUGAGACACGGCCCAGACUCCUACGGGAGGCAGCAGUGGGGAAUAUUGGACAAUGGGCGCAAGCCUGAUCCAGCCAUACCGCGUGUGUGAAGAAGGCUCUAGGGUUGUAAAGCACUUUAAGCAGGGAGAAAAAGUUAUAAGUUAAUACCUUAUAACCCUGAUGUUACCUGCAGAAUAAGCACCGGCUAAUUCCGUGCCAGCAGCCGCGGUAAUACGGAAGGUGCAAGCGUUAAUCGGAAUUACUGGGCGUAAAGCGCGCGUAGGUGGUUUGUUAAGUUGGAUGUGAAAGCCCUGGGCUCAACCUAGGAACUGCAUCCAAAACUAACUCACUAGAGUACGAUAGAGGGAGGUAGAAUUCAUAGUGUAGCGGUGGAAUGCGUAGAUAUUAUGAAGAAUACCAGUGGCGAAGGCGGCCUCCUGGAUCUGUACUGACACUGAGGUGCGAAAGCGUGGGUAGCGAACAGGAUUAGAUACCCUGGUAGUCCACGCCGUAAACGAUGACAACUAGCUGUUGGGAGACAAUGUCUUUCAGUGGCGCAGCUAACGUUUUAAGUUGUCCGCCUGGGGAGUACGGCCGCAAGGCUAAAACUCAAAUGAAUUGACGGGGACCCGCACAAGCGGUGGAGCAUGUGGUUUAAUUCGAUGCAACGCGAAAAACCUUACCUACUCUUGACAUACUUGGAAGCUCUUGUAAUGAG